This 429-nucleotide ribosomal RNA is filed under the name Pseudomonadota bacterium. RNAcentral's name for it is "Proteobacteria bacterium partial 16S ribosomal RNA". It matches the Rfam family "Bacterial small subunit ribosomal RNA", at positions 355 to 776 of the family's 1533-position model. The record is from RNAcentral. Lineage: Bacteria; Pseudomonadati; Pseudomonadota.
UGGGGAAUAUUGGACAAUGGGCGAAAGCCUGAUCCAGCCAUGCCGCGUGUGUGAAGAAGGUCUUCGGAUUGUAAAGCACUUUAAGUGGGGAGGAAGGGCAGUAAGCGAAUACCUUGCUGUUUUGACGUUACCGACAGAAUAAGCACCGGCUAACCCUGUGCCAGCAGCCGCGGUAAUACAGAGGGUGCAAGCGUUAAUCGGAAUUACUGGGCGUAAAGCGCGCGUAGGUGGUUCGUUAAGUUGAAUGUGAAAGCCCCGGGCUCAACCUGGGAACUGCAUCCAAAACUGGCGAGCUAGAGUAGGGCAGAGGGUGGUGGAAUUUCCUGUGUAGCGGUGAAAUGCGUAGAUAUAGGAAGGAACACCAGUGGCGAAGGCGACCACCUGGGCUCAUACUGACACUGAGGUGCGAAAGCGUGGGGAGCAAACAGG